UACGGGGGGUGCAAGCGUUAUUCGGAAUUAUUGGGCGUAAAGGGCGCGUAGGCGGUUGAAUAAGUCAGAUGUGAAAGCCCUUGGCUUAACCAAGGAAGUGCAUUUGAUACUAUUUGACUUGAGUAUGGGAGAGGGAAGUGGAAUUCCUGGUGUAGAGGUGAAAUUCGUAGAUAUCAGGAGGAACACCGGUGGCGAAAGCGACUUCCUGGACCAAUACUGACGCUGAGGCGCGAAGGCGUGGGGAGCAAACAGG
This 253-nucleotide ribosomal RNA is filed under the name uncultured bacterium. RNAcentral describes it as "partial 16S ribosomal RNA". It matches the Rfam family "Bacterial small subunit ribosomal RNA", at positions 524 to 776 of the family's 1533-position model. The record is from RNAcentral.